This 1199-nucleotide long non-coding RNA is filed under the name Pogona vitticeps (central bearded dragon). RNAcentral's name for it is "lncRNA (ENSPVIG00000021930.1)". Lineage: Eukaryota; Metazoa; Chordata; Lepidosauria; Squamata; Agamidae. The record is from RNAcentral.
ACCCGGGGGGGUCUGGGAGGGAGCCGUCGUCGGGGGGGGGGGGGGGGUGGGGAAGUAGAGGUUGGGGGCUGGAGGAGGCGGGGUGGAGAAGGCGGGGUGGAGAAAAGUGCCGGGCUCUGUCUCCAGUACUAAUUCGGCGCCGAACGCCUUCCGGAAAGAUUGCGAGGCGAACGACGCGUCUCCUCCAAGCCAGAUCGCCUGGGCGCUCGUUGCACUGGCUCUCUCCCAGCGACAAACCCAUCAAGAGGAUCCUGACAUCCCGUCGUGGGCUACUACUGGUGCCUGGCUGACUAGCCCCCAUGACGAUGGUCCAGGGUCCCUCCAAAGCUAGGGUCGAUCUACUCUCUAAUUCCGGCACGGACAGCCUGGUAUGGAGGCAGCUGGCUGAUCUCAAGCCUUUUGCAUUUCCAGACAUGGAAGAACAAGAUAUGGAAGCUACCUCUGGAUUCUGACCCUUUCGUGGUCUUCUCCCUCCCGACUCCUCGGUUGGCAGCUUUCUGCGGGCUUCACAAUUCCCUGGACCUCUGCAACAUUGUGAAAACGAAGGAAACUUCUGGUAACUGGAGUACAGAUGAUGAUACCUGGAGAACUGACCAAGAGCGGAGAAAUAAAGGAGAGCUGUAUCCCCUUCAUUCCUCAGGCCUCAGUUUGGCCUCCUGAGCCAAGAAAAAUGGAGAGACAGAGCCGGUGCCUGAAAUGCUGGAUUUAUUGUCACUGUAUUGCAUGGUUCCUAUGCCUUGGAAAUUUACAACUGCCGUUCAGUCCAAGAACUAUUGAUACUACAGCUAAUAACAUGUAGGUAUUGAUCUUCAGUUUUUUUGGCCUGCAGCCAAAUAUGUGCUUGUUAAUACUAAUCAAUAUCUGAACUUCUCAGUUUCCUUCUCCUCUGAAUUUUCCCCUCUUUUCCUGCUUACUACCUUCACUAGCUUUUCUUUGGAAAAAAUAAUAUAGCCUGAAGAAAGAAGAGUCUAUUUCUGGCCAUGUCACUUUUUACGUUAUCGUUGUUGUUAUGUGUUAUCAAGUCACUUCCAAUUUAUGUCAGCUUUCUUUAGGGAGUCAGUCCAUCUUAUAUUUGGUCUUCCUCUUUUCCGGCUGCUUUCCACUUUUCCCAACAUUAAUGUCUUGUUCAGAGAAUCCUGCCUUCUCAUUCUGAAAGUAGGACAGCCCCAGUUUCAACAUUUUUGCCUCUAGAGAUAACU